RNAcentral lists this ribosomal RNA (1392 nucleotides) under Salmonella enterica subsp. enterica serovar Typhimurium. RNAcentral's name for it is "bacterial LSU rRNA". It matches the Rfam family "Bacterial large subunit ribosomal RNA", at positions 1 to 1416 of the family's 2925-position model. The record is from RNAcentral. Lineage: Bacteria; Pseudomonadati; Pseudomonadota; Gammaproteobacteria; Enterobacterales; Enterobacteriaceae.
GGGUUGUGAGGUUAAGCGACUAAGCGUACACGGUGGAUGCCCUGGCAGUCAGAGGCGAUGAAGGGCGUGCUAAUCUGCGAUAAGCGCCGGUAAGGUGAUAUGAACCGUUAUAACCGGCGAUACCCGAAUGGGGAAACCCAGUGUGAUUCGUCACACUAUCAUUAACUGAAUCCAUAGGUUAAUGAGGCGAACCGGGGGAACUGAAACAUCUAAGUACCCCGAGGAAAAGAAAUCAACCGAGAUUCCCCCAGUAGCGGCGAGCGAACGGGGAGGAGCCCAGAGCCUGAAUCAGCAUGUGUGUUAGUGGAAGCGUCUGGAAAGGCGCGCGAUACAGGGUGACAGCCCCGUACACAAAAGCGCAUGUGCUGUGAGCUCGAUGAGUAGGGCGGGACACGUGGUAUCCUGUCUGAAUAUGGGGGGCGAACCGGGGGAACUGAAACAUCUAAGUACCCCGAGGAAAAGAAAUCAACCGAGAUUCCCCCAGUAGCGGCGAGCGAACGGGGAGGAGCCCAGAGCCUGAAUCAGCAUGUGUGUUAGUGGAAGCGUCUGGAAAGGUGCGCGAUACAGGGUGACAGCCCCGUACACAAAAGCGCAUGUGCUGUGAGCUCGAUGAGUAGGGCAGCCAUGGGCAGGUUGAAGGUUGGGUAACACUAACUGGAGGACCGAACCGACUAAUGUUGAAAAAUUAGCGGAUGACCUGUGGCUGGGGGUGAAAGGCCAAUCAAACCGGGAGAUAGCUGGUUCUCCCCGAAAGCUAUUUAGGUAGCGCCUCGUGAAUUCAUCUCCGGGGGUAGAGCACUGUUUCGGCUAGGGGGCCAUCCCGGCUUACCAACCCGAUGCAAACUGCGAAUACCGGAGAAUGUUAUCACGGGAGACACACGGCGGGUGCUAACGUCCGUCGUGAAGAGGGAAACAACCCAGACCGCCAGCUAAGGUCCCAAAGUCAUGGUUAAGUGGGAAACGAUGUGGGAAGGCCCAGACAGCCAGGAUGUUGGCUUAGAAGCAGCCAUCAUUUAAAGAAAGCGUAAUAGCUCACUGGUCGAGUCGGCCUGCGCGGAAGAUGUAACGGGGCUAAACCAUGCACCGAAGCUGCGGCAGCGAACGUAUCACCCAAGACAACUUUACGGAGUUGACGAUUGACGGAGCGAAGCGACGUCAAAGCGUUCAUUAAAGUCGAGUUGGCUUAGGGAUACGUUCGUUGGGUAGGGGAGCGUUCUGUAAGCCUGUGAAGGUGUGUCGUGAGGCAUGCUGGAGGUAUCAGAAGUGCGAAUGCUGACAUAAGUAACGAUAAAGCGGGUGAAAAGCCCGCUCGCCGGAAGACCAAGGGUUCCUGUCCAACGUUAAUCGGGGCAGGGUGAGUCGACCCCUAAGGCGAGGCCGAAAGGCGUAGUC